RNAcentral lists this ribosomal RNA (209 nucleotides) under uncultured bacterium. Its description in RNAcentral is "partial 16S ribosomal RNA". It matches the Rfam family "Bacterial small subunit ribosomal RNA", at positions 568 to 774 of the family's 1533-position model. The record is from RNAcentral.
AGCGCAGGCGGUUUCUUAAGUCUGAUGUGAAAGCCUUCGGCUCAACCGAAGAAGUGCAUCGGAAACUGGGAAACUUGAGUGCAGAAGAGGACAGUGGAACUCCAUGUGUAGCGGUGAAAUGCGUAGAUAUAUGGAAGAACACCAGUGGCGAAGGCGGCUGUCUGGUCUGUAACUGACGCUGAGGACUCGAAAGCGAUGGGUAGCAAACA